Molecule: non-coding RNA, 195 nt
Organism: Prunus avium (sweet cherry)
Lineage: Eukaryota; Viridiplantae; Streptophyta; Magnoliopsida; Rosales; Rosaceae
Source: RefSeq, a predicted model, not a curated record
CUAAUGUGCUUCUUGAUAAAAAUCUUACCCCAAAGAUAUCUGACUUUGGAUUGGCCAAGCUUGAUGAAGAGGACAAUACACACAUUAGCACCCGUAUUGCUGGAACUUAUGGAUAUAUGGCACCUGAAUAUGCAAUGCGGGGUUAUCUGACUGACAAAGCAGAUGUUUAUAGCUUUGGAAUUCUUGUAUUGGAAA